GACGAACGCUGGCGGCGCGCUUAACACAUGCAAGUCGAACGGAAAGGCCUGCUUUCCCUUGUGGAUUGCGGGUACUCGAGUGGCGAACGGGUGAGUAACACGUGAGUGAUCUGCCCCCAACUUGGGUAUAAGCCUGGGAAACUGGGUCUAAUUCCCGAUAGGACUGCAGGGUGGUGCCUGUGGUGGAAAACGAUUUUCUAGUGGUUGGGGAUGAGCUCGCGGCCUAUCAGCUUGUUGGUGGGGUAAUGGCCUACCAAGGCGGCGACGGGUAGCCGGCCUGAGAGGGUGGACGGCCACAUUGGGACGGAGAUACGGCCCAGACUCCUACGGGAGGCAGCAGUGGGGAAUAUUGCACAAUGGGCGGAAGCCUGAUGCAGCGACGCCGCGUGGGGGAUGACGGCCUUCGGGUUGUAAACUCCUUUCGACCGCGAGGAAGCCACCUGGUUGGAAGGGUGGCGACGGUAGUGGUAGAAGAAGCACCGGCUAACUACGUG
Molecule: ribosomal RNA, 494 nt
Filed under: uncultured bacterium
Lineage: Bacteria
Description: partial 16S ribosomal RNA
Rfam family: Bacterial small subunit ribosomal RNA
Source: RNAcentral